GGACUACUAGGGUUUCUAAUCCUGUUUGCUCCCCACGCUUUCGUGCAUGAGCGUCAGUGCAGGCCCAGGGGAUUGCCUUCGCCAUCGGUGUUCCUCCGCAUAUCUACGCAUUUCACUGCUACACGCGGAAUUCCAUCCCCCUCUGCCGCACUCCAGCCAUGCAGUCACAAAUGCAGUUCCCAGGUUAAGCCCGGGGAUUUCACAUCUGUCUUGCAAAGCCGCCUGCGCACGCUUUACGCCCAGUAAUUCCGAUUAACGCUCGCACCCUACGUAUUACCGCGGCUGCUGGCAC
This 292-nucleotide ribosomal RNA is filed under the name uncultured bacterium. RNAcentral describes it as "partial 16S ribosomal RNA". The record is from RNAcentral.